This 497-nucleotide ribosomal RNA is filed under the name uncultured bacterium. Its description in RNAcentral is "partial 16S ribosomal RNA". It matches the Rfam family "Bacterial small subunit ribosomal RNA", at positions 28 to 507 of the family's 1533-position model. The record is from RNAcentral.
GAUGAACGCUGGCGGCGUGCCUAAUACAUGCAAGUCGAGCGAACAGACGAGGAGCUUGCUCCUCUGACGUUAGCGGCGGACGGGUGAGUAACACGUGGAUAACCUACCUAUAAGACUGGGAUAACUUCGGGAAACCGGAGCUAAUACCGGAUAAUAUAUUGAACCGCAUGGUUCAAUAGUGAAAGACGGUUUUGCUGUCACUUAUAGAUGGAUCCGCGCCGCAUUAGCUAGUUGGUAAGGUAACGGCUUACCAAGGCAACGAUGCGUAGCCGACCUGAGAGGGUGAUCGGCCACACCUGAACUGAGACACGGUCCAGACUCCUACGGGAGGCAGCAGUAGGGAAUCUUCCGCAAUGGGCGAAAGCCUGACGGAGCAACGCCGCGUGAGUGAUGAAGGUCUUCGGAUCGUAAAACUCUGUUAUUAGGGAAGAACAAAUGUGUAAGUAACUAUGCACGUCUUGACGGUACCUAAUCAGAAAGCCACGGCUAACUACGUG